AGGAUGAACGCUAGCGGCAGGCUUAAUACAUGCAAGUCGAGGGGCAGCAGGUCUGUAGCAAUACAGAUGCUGGCGACCGGCAAACGGGUGCGGAACACGUACAGAACCUUCCUUUAAGCGGGGGAUAGCCCAGAGAAAUUUGGAUUAAUACCCCAUAGUAUUAUUGAGUGGCAUCACUUAAUGAUUAAAGAUUUAUCACUUAAAGAUGGCUGUGCGGCUGAUUAGGUAGUUGGCGGGGUAAUGGCCCACCAAGCCUUCGAUCAGUAACUGGUGUGAGAGCACGACCAGUCACACGGGCACUGAGACACGGGCCCGACUCCUACGGGAGGCAGCAGUAAGGAAUAUUGGGCAAUGGAGGCAACUCUGACCCAGCCAUGCCGCGUGGAGGAUGAAGGCCCUCUGGGUUGUAAACUCCUUUUACCUGGGACGAAACCUUCCUUUUCCAAGGGAGUUGACGGUACCAGGGGAAUAAGCACCGGCUAACUCCGUGCCAGCAGCCGCGGUAAUACGGAGGGUGCAAGCGUUAUCCGGAUUCACUGGGUUUAAAGGGUGCGUAGGCGGACCGGUAAGUCCGUGGUGAAAUCUCCGAGCUUAACUCGGAAACUGCCAUGGAUACUACUGGUCUUGAAUACUGUGAAGGUGAGCGGAAUAUGUCAUGUAGCGGUGAAAUGCUUAGAUAUGACAUAGAACACCAAUUGCGAAGGCAGCUCACUGCGCAGUCAUUGACGCUGAGGCACGAAAGCGUGGAGAUCAAACAGGAUUAGAUACCCUGGUAGUCCACGCCCUAAACGAUGGAUACUCGACAUACGUGAUAUGACAAUGUGUGUCUGAGCGAAAGCAUUAAGUAUCCCACCUGGGAAGUACGACCGCAAGGUUGAAACUCAAAGGAAUUGGCGGGGGUCCGCACAAGCGGUGGAGCAUGUGGUUUAAUUCGAUGAUACGCGAGGAACCUUACCUGGGCUAGAAUGCUGAGUGACCGCGGGUGAAGCUCGCUUUGUCGCAGACACACUCAGUAAGUGCUGCAUGGCUGUCGUCAGCUCGUGCCGUGGAGGUUGUUGGGUUAAGUCCCGCACGAGCGCACCCCAUCAGUAGUGCAUCAGUACGCUGGGACUCUACUGAAACUGCGUCGUAAGACUGAGAAAGGAGGGGCAUGAUGUCAAGUCAUCAUGGCCUUAUGGCAAGGCUACACACCGGCUACAUGGGGCCCGUUACAAAGGGGCCGUGUCUCCACCUUUUAACUGCCACUUAGCGAUAAGGAGCCAAUCCCAAAAAACGCCUCUCAGUUCAGAUCGCAGUCUGCAACUCGACUGCGUGAAGCUGGAAUCGCUAGUAAUCGUAUAUCAGCAAUGAUACGGUGAAUACGUUCCCGGACCUUGCACACACCGCCCGUCAAGCCAUGGAAGCCGGGUGUACCUAAAGUCGGUAACCGCCAAGGAGCCGCCUAGGGUAAAACUGGUAACUGGGGCUAAGUCGUAACAAGGUAGCCGUAUCGGAAGGUGCGGCUGGAUC
Molecule: ribosomal RNA, 1509 nt
Filed under: uncultured bacterium
Lineage: Bacteria
Description: bacterial SSU rRNA
Rfam family: Bacterial small subunit ribosomal RNA
Source: RNAcentral